AUAUAUACAGUUCAUGUGUUCUAAUGAUAAUCAUGAAGACAUCCUCCAUCAGGUGCACCAAACGUUUUUUAUUCCAUUAAUUAAUUGUCACAUACACAGGCUUCGGUCUGUUCUAAGCAUAACCACCAGGACACCAUACAUCAGGUUCACAAAAGGAUAGCUAAAAGAUGCUAGUAUGAGACAUGAGUUGUACAAAAUGAAAGCUAAAUAUCCAGGUGACACGGAUCGCUGGCUUCAUGGUUCCUUGUGAGUGUUGUCCUUUUUUUGCUUCCUACAAAAGUUAAACAAGUCUCAAUUAUAAUAAUACAAUAUCAUAAACUGCAUUCUCUUUGCUUGUUUUUAUUUUGCAAACAUUUCAUAUGUGAGUAGUCUUUUUUUGUCAAGUGAAUCACAUGUUGAUAGAAGUGAUACCAUAUCUCAAAACUAUUUACAUGUCAAUCAUAUUGAUUGCUUACACACUAGUCUCUAGAAAUAAUAGAAGCGCAUACCUAGCUUCAUACCAAAGAGUCAAAAAAGAUCACCUAAGGCAUGCAAUCAAAACAUGUAACAAUUAAAUAACAAUGUGAAAGCAUGAUAUGUCGUUUUUUGUUUACUUCCUACAGUUAAGUAACAUGUAACAAUUAAACAUGUAAUUAUUUGAUCUUUUUGUCCACAUAUAUAUGCUAGUAGGAUAUAGUACACACGAGCAGAAAAGUUGUAUUUGUUAUAGUACUGCAUGCAUAUAUAAAAGUCUCAUGUUACACACAGGGCUGAAGAAUCACAAGCAUUGCAAGGAGUAAAAAUAAAAGGUAUCCAGUAAUUAGAAGCAAAAAGUUUAAGUGAUCACACAUGCAUAUUUAAAAGUAAUUAGGAGCAACAAGUUUAAGAAGUUAACUGGCUCAAGUGGGUUUUUUCAAGGCACAAUAGAAGAAUCUAGCUAUGUUCUCUAAAUAAACCAAAAUAGAAGAACAUUGAGAAUUUACCAUCACUCUGAAUACUAUGCACCAAAUAGUUCUUAUUGAGAUGCAAUUACAUCAAUCAUUCAUGCCAUCGCCUCAUCGUGCACUACAGUAGUUGUCAAGAUAGAGAACAAUGCAGAAGAAUAAUUAGAAUGCUUCAUGCUGCAUAUAGUUCAUGACAAAUGGUAGCAAAAGUACAUAUCUAGAGGGGUCUAACAAAGGAUAACUUAUUUUCUUACAUAAUUGAUGCAGUAAUCUAGAAGAUCUAAACUCAUGCUCUAAUAUCAAGUCAAUGGUUAUUAGAAAAAGUAAAUGCAAUGGUGCCUUUAGGCGUAUUUACAGCACAUAACAAGAAGUAUUAAAAAACAUGGGCAUUACUGUCAUAUCUCCAUCAUAUCCAACUUCAUACACAAAUCUGAACCCAACAUGCUUCAUGUGGCAUAAAUAAACUAUAUAACAACCUGAUGUAAAGCUUACUGUUGGUUGUAGUUGUCGCCGUCACUGUGCUGCCAUAGGAGCAAGGUACGCAUCGACAGGAAGCAGAACUAGAGCACUCCCAGCACCCGCCGGGUGAUAGCGUUGCCUCUAUUUGACCCUUCCUCUGCCUUCUUUGAACCACCUCAUAGAAGACUGGGUCGCUGGAUAAAUAACCAAUCAGUAGGCAGUAGAACAUCAACAUUCAGCAGCAAUACGGUAGUAGCACUAGCACAUCAAGCAGCACAGACGUGGCUAGCAGCACACUGCACACCACAACACAACAAGAACUAGCACACCACAACCACACAAGCAGCAAGCACCAUAGGAGCAGUAGCAAGCAGCAAGCAGGCACACCAUCACACAGUAGUAGCAAACAACAAGCAAGCAACAUCACAAACAGGGGAAGAGGGAUGAGCAGAGGAACUACCAGGGAGGGGCUCAGGGGGUCGGGGUGGAUGAAGGGGAGCAGAUCCGGUCGGGAAAGGAGCCGACGACCUCUUGUCUCCUCUCUAUAUGAAGCCCCUCACGAACCCUAUCCCGAGCCCUCUCUUGUCGCCGCCAAGCUCUCUUUUGUACUCCAACGGUGAUGGUGGAGAGGGGGAGGACGGACAAGGCAGGGCGGUGGGGAUGCUGGAGAACAAGCGGGAGAGGGGGCGACAACCUUGCUGGCCGGAGAGCACGUAGAUGGACGGCGAGAGAGAGCUCGAGAGGUG
RNAcentral lists this long non-coding RNA (2128 nucleotides) under Hordeum vulgare. RNAcentral describes it as "long non-coding RNA (HVUL_LNC007624)". The record is from RNAcentral. Lineage: Eukaryota; Viridiplantae; Streptophyta; Magnoliopsida; Poales; Poaceae.